Culex quinquefasciatus (southern house mosquito) is the source of this 1500-nucleotide long non-coding RNA. RefSeq lists it as uncharacterized. Lineage: Eukaryota; Metazoa; Arthropoda; Insecta; Diptera; Culicidae. The transcript has 2 exons. The record is from RefSeq and is a predicted model, not a curated record.
UGGUGGCAACGUAACCGGCCAGAACAUUGAAACGAUGUGAUUUUGUUAUAUCUAAGUAACUUUUAAAAAUGGUACUGAAUUAAAAAUGCGGAACUUAGAAUUUUGCUUUGUAUUUUACACCAAAAACUUGUAUGUGGUGAAAGGCUAUUCCACAAAGCGCGCGCUCUCUCUCUUUUGUGUUUAUAUUUCUGUUUUCGCCCGUCGCGCGCAGCGACAGUCAAAAGAGGUCUGCGCUGAAAGUUGACAAGUCAAAACUCCUCUUGUUUUGGUGCGUUUCGUCGUGGUCGUCACGGUUCGCGGUUGUUUAUAAGCAUCUUCACUAUUUUCGCGUUCGUGUUUUGUUUUCAAAAGUGAGUGUAAAAGAACUGCCUUCCAUCCUCACAGCAAGUAUUGGCUGCGUUUGUUUACAUCCGUGAGCAGCUAGAAAAAAAAAAGUUCCAUCCUUCCGUCCAGCGGGAUCGAAGUCGCCGAGGAGGAAAAACAAUACAAAGGUGACAAUUGAGUGGUUUUCCGGAUCGUUUGUUUACAGAAGUGUUUGCUUCUAGAGUGCUACGUGAAAAUCCACCAGGUUUGUUUACUUCCAAGAACCAACCAAAACAAAUCAACCGGAUAACCACGCAAAUUUUUAUUAAAUUUUAAUGCAAACAAUCAUGUUGUUUCAGAUUUCGACGAAAAGUACCUUUUCAGAUUUGUGAUUCCUACCCCGGCUGCCACCAACAAGGACGCGUUUUUAGCGACAGAUUCUCUCGGUGAAUCCCGAAUUGUGUGGACCUGUUCUUGUGCAUUCUAGUCGACAUUGUCGAGGAUGGUCGUGGGCAAAGUUCGUCGCGGCCAUUUAGAUAGGUAUAUUUAGCUUAUCUUCCCUCCUCCUCUUCGUCCUCCUCUUGAGUAAAAAGUCUUUUCGAGCGGCCAAGCAGCAGUUGAUAUUCUGUUGACGGAGCUGGCAAUAGAACCAAUGCAGCCCGAGAGUUUUCGGCCUAAAUGGAAACAUCACAAAGAAUGUACUGGUUUGUACCUGAAGCAUGCUUUGAUCUUAAAAUGAAUUUCGUCAAGUGCGACAGGUCAUCAGGGUGCGACACGCUCUCAUCAACCAGCGGUGCCACUUUUAUCUAAACUCGAAGCUUCCAAACUACGAAUAACCGGCGUGAUAUAGCUGCGCCGUUUCCUAUCGCAAGCGAUUUCAAGUCAAGCAGAGUACCUAAUUGACGACGUCCACAGGAUGGCGAAGAUGGAGCUGGCAUCGAAAAUGCUACAGUUGUGCUGGAUGGGGCGUACGACUUUGAUCAACAUCCUGCUGUAGCGAAAGUUUCCUUCAGAUUUGUUUAACUUAGAAUUAGAAAUGUCUUUUUUUUGACAAGUCAAACCUUUAGACACACGCAAUACCUCUUCCUCCCGAAAUUAAACACCAGUUAAAAGGAACCCCCUUUUUUAGCUUAGGAUUUUUCGAUCAUUGUACUACUAAAAUGACAAAAUAAAUUAAAACAUUUGGACAAAGUAAAA